CCUAUAUUAUAUGAGGUAGAAUACACCUAACUCACAAUCGAUGUGGGAUUAAAUCCCCCACAAUAGUAGCCCCACAAUAUUUCUGCUUUGGCUGUAUCAUACCGUAGCCUAUACGCUUGCGGCUCUUGGGCCGUAGUUGAUGACCACUUGUGGUUGCCGUAGCUUAUAUGCUUGCAGUCCUUGGACUAUAGCUGGUACGCUUGCGGUUGUCGGGCCUCACGGCUUUGUCCUCUGAGCUUUGGCCCAAAAAGCGCCUCUUGAGAGAGAGAGGAUCUCCUAUCUUACAUAAGGU
This 292-nucleotide long non-coding RNA is filed under the name Elaeis guineensis (African oil palm). RNAcentral describes it as "long non-coding RNA (EGUI_LNC004685)". Lineage: Eukaryota; Viridiplantae; Streptophyta; Magnoliopsida; Arecales; Arecaceae. The record is from RNAcentral.